GACGAACGCUGGCGGCGUGCUUAACACAUGCAAGUCGAACGGAAAGGCCCCCUUGUGGGGUACUCGAGUGGCGAACGGGUGAGUAACACGUGAGUAACCUACCCUUGACUUUGGGAUAACUUCAGGAAACUGGGGCUAAUACCGGAUAGGAGCUCCUGCUGCAAGGUGGGGGUUGGAAAGUUUCGGUGGUUGGGGCUGGACUCGGGGCUUAUCAGCUUGUUGGUGGGGUAGUGGCUCACCAAGGCAUUGACGGGUAGCCGGCCUGGGAGGGUGACCGGCCACAUUGGGCCUGAGAUACGGCCCAGACUCCUACGGGAGGCAGCAGUGGGGAAUAUUGCACAAUGGGCGGAAGCCUGAUGCAGCAGCGCCGCGUGCGGGAUGACGGCCUUCGGGUUGUAAACCGCUUUCGCCUGUGACGAAGCGUGAGUGACGGUAAUGGGUAAAGAAGCACCGGCUAACUACGUG
Molecule: ribosomal RNA, 465 nt
Filed under: uncultured bacterium
Lineage: Bacteria
Description: partial 16S ribosomal RNA
Rfam family: Bacterial small subunit ribosomal RNA
Source: RNAcentral